AUGUAUUCACCCAGGAACAUGAAACCAUCACUUUUUUUACUUUUUCAAGGUAUCCUGCUCUAUGAUGCUUUGGGAUGGGAAGUGAGAAUGCCGAAAUACAUCCACGGCCUCAAAGGUUCCUGUCUGGUCAUACCAUGUUCUUUCAGCUACACAUCAUAUCCACCCAAAGACCCACGUAGAGUUGUGUGGUAUCAGUGGGUCUCUAAAGGUUAUCCUUUAGUUUAUGAUCCAUGGCAUCCAAAUGAUGUCAUUGAGAAGUUCAGAUGGAAAACUGAUUUAUAUGGUGACCCAUCAAAUAGGGAUUGCAGUCUGUUAAUUAAAAACCUGCAACAGUCCCACCACGAAGAGAAAUUAUAUGCUUGGAUUGACCCUGAAAAUGUUGGAUGGCGCACCUACGCAUUUUAUGAUGUCACCUCUACUAUUCAAGUUGAUGACCCAGUGCUCAUUGGACUGGAGACUAUUGGUCUUUACAUCCUAAUGCCAUCACUUGUGUUCCUUCUGGUUUGUAUACUUGCUGGAGUCAUCAUAUACAAGAAGCGACAAAGGUCAAAAGAUGCAAUGUCUGGAAACAAGCCUUUCUCCAAACCUCAUAUGCCAUCACCAAAGAGUGAUCCAAAAUCCUGCUCUGGUAAUGAUUAUGAAGCUGAAUACACCAACAUGGAAGAACUCAACAUGUAUGGAAAUAUCUGAUGAGAAGCAAAAUGGGCUCAAUACAGUGUUUUUUUUUUUUUUUUUUAAGAUUAAAAAUAAUAAUUUUAUUAAUAAUAAAUUUGUUACAUUUAUCA
Cyprinus carpio (common carp) is the source of this 785-nucleotide long non-coding RNA. The record is from Ensembl. NCBI's taxonomy places the organism in Eukaryota, Metazoa, Chordata, Actinopteri, Cypriniformes, Cyprinidae.